UUGGGCAUUAUAGCUUAUUAUUUGCGUCGUGACGCAAAUAAUGAGCUAUAAUGCCCAAUAAACCCCUACUACGGGGCCCAUUUCCCAUAGAGGGUGCCAGGCCCGUAGCGACGGAGGACGUCGGCGAGAGGAACUCUCCUCAGAGUCGGGUUGCUUGAGAGUGCAGCCCUAAGUGCGUGGUAAACUCCAUCUAAGGCUUAAUAUUACCGCGAGACCGAUAGAGAACAAGUUGAAAAGAACUUUGAAGAGAGAGUUCAACAGUACGUGAAACCGCUCAGGGGUAAACCUGCGAAACUCGA
Molecule: non-coding RNA, 299 nt
Filed under: Operophtera brumata (winter moth)
Lineage: Eukaryota; Metazoa; Arthropoda; Insecta; Lepidoptera; Geometridae
Description: Eukaryotic large subunit ribosomal RNA
Rfam family: Eukaryotic large subunit ribosomal RNA
Source: Rfam by way of RNAcentral